Molecule: ribosomal RNA, 109 nt
Filed under: uncultured bacterium
Lineage: Bacteria
Description: partial 16S ribosomal RNA
Rfam family: Bacterial small subunit ribosomal RNA
Source: RNAcentral
AAUACGUUCCCGGACCUUGUACACACCGCCCGUCAAGCCAUGAAAGUCUGGUGGACCUGAAGGCCGUAACCGCAAGGAGCGGCUCAGGGUAAAACAGGUAAUUAGGGCU